This is a small nucleolar RNA of Telopea speciosissima, 106 nucleotides long. The record is from RefSeq and is a predicted model, not a curated record. NCBI's taxonomy places the organism in Eukaryota, Viridiplantae, Streptophyta, Magnoliopsida, Proteales, Proteaceae.
ACAGCAUGAUGGGGGCAUUUACGGAUAUGGUCUUUAAGUCUUUCCCAGGUCUCAUGAAAUUGCUCACCAUCAAUUUGCGAGAAGCUUGUGAUGGCGUGCCUAAUCU